CUAAGCCACUUUCACUUGGUGAUGCUAUGGGGGUCUGAUCUUUGGAGAAAAGGAGGUGAGAACACAGACAGCACAGACCGGGAGGCCCUGGGUGCGUGUGUGCAGAGAGCGUCAGUCACAAGGAGAGGCAGCAAGAGAGUGUCCGCCAGCGGCCACGAGAAAUUCAGAGGAAACCACCCUGCUGGCGCUUUGAUCUUGGAUUCCAGCAUCAAGAAGUCUCAUCACAGAGAUCCCUCAUAGUCCAUGGCACUAGCCAUCAAAAGGAGCAGCAGGAGUCAUCUUUCUGACACAGGGAAAUAUGACCCUCCAUUUGGUUGAAUUGUAGGAGCAAAAAUCAAAAUAGACAAAGUC
Odocoileus virginianus texanus is the source of this 351-nucleotide long non-coding RNA. RefSeq lists it as uncharacterized. NCBI's taxonomy places the organism in Eukaryota, Metazoa, Chordata, Mammalia, Artiodactyla, Cervidae. The record is from RefSeq and is a predicted model, not a curated record.